UUGCAAGUGAAAAUACCUCAUUCCUUUAGGAGCAGGAAUACAUUCAUAGAUGCUGCAAUAAAAAAGGAGUUCUCAGAGAUCCCGAUCUUACAGUGGAGGUUGAAUAGUAGUAUAUUUUUCCAGCAUAA
Trichechus manatus latirostris (Florida manatee) is the source of this 128-nucleotide small nucleolar RNA. RefSeq annotates it as small nucleolar RNA U109. The transcript has a single exon. Lineage: Eukaryota; Metazoa; Chordata; Mammalia; Sirenia; Trichechidae. The record is from RefSeq and is a predicted model, not a curated record.